RNAcentral lists this ribosomal RNA (159 nucleotides) under Pteroceltis tatarinowii. Its description in RNAcentral is "5.8S ribosomal RNA". It matches the Rfam family "5.8S ribosomal RNA". Rfam says of the family: 5.8S ribosomal RNA (5.8S rRNA) is a component of the large subunit of the eukaryotic ribosome. Lineage: Eukaryota; Viridiplantae; Streptophyta; Magnoliopsida; Rosales; Cannabaceae. The record is from RNAcentral.
UCGGCAACGGAUAUCUCGGCUCUCGCAUCGAUGAAGAACGUAGCGAAAUGCGAUACUUGGUGUGAAUUGCAGAAUCCCGUGAACCAUCGAGUCUUUGAACGCAAGUUGCGCCCGAAGCCGUCAGGCCGAGGGCACGUCUGCCUGGGCGUCACACACCGU